This 387-nucleotide ribosomal RNA is filed under the name Triticum aestivum (bread wheat). RNAcentral's name for it is "partial small subunit ribosomal RNA". The record is from RNAcentral. Lineage: Eukaryota; Viridiplantae; Streptophyta; Magnoliopsida; Poales; Poaceae.
AUGCACCAUCAUGCAUGCAGCUGGCUGCGGCUUCCAAAGUCCCUUGCAAGGACAAUGGAAGGCAACGAUCACCAGGGUCUAUGGUUGCGGGCGGACGGAUGCUGCAACGGCCCCUCCUGGGUGGCGACGGAGAUCUCCGCCAAUGGAUUCAUAUACUUGUGUCGGGGGUGGAAAUCAUUUGCCUGCUCCCAUGCUAUAAUGCAAGGAUACCUUCUCCAUUUCAGGUACAAUGGAUCCUCCACGCUCUUCCUGAAGUUCUUCGGUGCUUCCGGCGGGCGCUUGGAGUACUGCGUAGAAAGUGAAAGCAGUAGUGACGCCAGCUCCUCCAGCGCGAGCGAGGACGACUACUCUCCCAGCGUUAAGAGUGAGGGCGACAACUCUGCCUAA